AAGCAUCCUAGGGAUGGGUAGGUUGGAGGUUGCCUUUACUCCCGUGGGUCCCAUCUCGCUUCUCAUUCUGUGCAGGAGGAUCCUUUGUGAGGUUGGCUGUAGAGGUGGGGGUCUGGCCCAUCAGCCUACCCUCCUGCUUACCCAGAGAAGCUAACAUUUAAUGGUACUCAUGAUGCGGGAGGCUCUGAGUGUUCAUGUUAUAUAUCCUCUCAACUGUCAAGUCCUCACUGCAGUUCUGUGGGGCUGAUGCUGUUCUUAUCCUGGCUUACAGAAGAGGAAACCGAGUACAGAACGGCCAUUAGCGUCACACCGGGAAACUGAGGCAUGGAAACGUGAGUGAGUUGUCGGUUCAGGUCCCAUAACUGUGCUCUGCCUCCCCAGUCACGGCAAGUUUCUUGGAGCUUUGAUGAGGAUAGACGGCAGGUGAUCCACGGAUGCCGAAGGGAGCUUUGCCACAGGCUGGGAUGCUUGGGUAGGUCCUCCCAGCUUGGGUAGGUCCUCCCAGCUUGGGUAGGUCCUCCCAGCUUCUGCAUAGAGGGAGUACUCCGUCCUCCCCAGCUCGGCUUCUGCAAAAACCCAAGCAGGGUGACUCCAGGCCAAGGGAGCAGGGACUGUGCUGUGCGAGGUCCAGGUCUACCUCGGCUCAGGCUCCCGCUCAAAGCUGAAUAACCGGGAGUCCUUCAAGAAGGAUUUCUGAGAAGCCAUCAGGAGUGAGUCAUUGACUUAGGGAGGCGAUGAAUCAACCGGGAGUUCAUAAAACGGCAAAUGAAUCGGGUGUGAGAGAGCAACGGAGCCACCGCUAUUCCCCAGAACCCUCCAGGGACAGAGAGCCGAGAGAAAAGAAAUAAAAAUAACACGGGGCCUUAUGCCUGCUACAAACCCGAGGAGUCCUUACAAGAAAGAACACUGAUUUUGACGAACACCCAAAAUAAUGUGAGAUCAGGCUCAUGCGUUAUGCAUGAGGUCUGAUUUAACAUGAACAUUAUUUCUUGUGUACGAGACCAUAUGCCUCCGUGCUGUCUCUGCAGCCUAAUAAAACCCAGACCCACCCUGGUCAGGCUCAGCAGGGA
This 1070-nucleotide long non-coding RNA is filed under the name Mus musculus (house mouse). Its description in RNAcentral is "predicted gene, 38545, transcript variant 2 (Gm38545)". Lineage: Eukaryota; Metazoa; Chordata; Mammalia; Rodentia; Muridae. The record is from RNAcentral.